GAUGAACGCUAGCUACAGGCUUAGCACAUGCAAGUCGAGGGGAAACGACAUCGAAAGCUUGCUUUUGAUGGGCGUCGACCGGCGCACGGGUGAGUAACGCGUAUCCAACCUGCCCAUCACUUGGGAAUAACCUUGCGAAAGUAAGACUAAUACCCAAUGACAUCCCACGAAGACAUCUGAAUGGGAUUAAAGAUUUAUCGGUGAUGGAUGCGGAUGCGUCUGAUUAGCUUGUUGGCGGGGUAACGGCCCACCAAGGCAACGAUCAGUAGGGGUUCUGAGAGGAAGGUCCCCCACAUUGGAACUGAGACACGGUCCAAACUCCUACGGGAGGCAGCAGUGAGGAAUAUUGGUCAAUGGGCGAGAGCCUGAACCAGCCAAGUAGCGUGCAGGAUGACGGCCCUAUGGGUUGUAAACUGCUUUUAUAAGGGAAUAAAGUGGGUCUCGUGAGACUUUUUGCAUGUACCUUAUGAAUAAGGACCGGCUAAUUCCGUG
This 492-nucleotide ribosomal RNA is filed under the name uncultured bacterium. Its description in RNAcentral is "partial 16S ribosomal RNA". It matches the Rfam family "Bacterial small subunit ribosomal RNA", at positions 28 to 507 of the family's 1533-position model. The record is from RNAcentral.